This 529-nucleotide ribosomal RNA is filed under the name Paguridium minimum. RNAcentral describes it as "partial 16S ribosomal RNA". It matches the Rfam family "Bacterial large subunit ribosomal RNA", at positions 1832 to 2613 of the family's 2925-position model. The record is from RNAcentral. Lineage: Eukaryota; Metazoa; Arthropoda; Malacostraca; Decapoda; Paguridae.
UAUAUGAGGAUAUAUAUAGUUUGGCCUGCUCACUGAGUUAAUUAAAGAGCCGCAGUAUUCUGACUGUGCGAAGGUAGCAUAAUAGAUUGUCUUUUAAAUGGAGGCUUGAAUGAAUGGUUGGACAAAGUAUCAUCUGUCUUUUUAAUAAUUGUUGAAUUUGACUUUUAAGUGAAAAGGCUUAAGUGAAAUAAAAAGACGAUAAGACCCUAUAAAUUUUUAUAAAAAAUAUAAUUUUAAUUUAAGUUUAUAAGUUUAUAAAAUAUAAAUUAUAAUUUUAUUGUGCUGGGGCGGUGUAAAUAUAUUAUAUAACUGUUUAUAAAUUAAAAUCAAUAAAUAGUUGGUUUAAAAAAUUGAUCCUUUGAGAGAUUAAAAGAUUAAAAUACUUUAGGGAUAACAGCGUUAUUUUUUCUAAGAGUUCUUAUUGAAGAAAAAGUUUGCGACCUCGAUGUUGAAUUAAAGUUUCUUUAUGGUGCAGCAGCUAUAACAGAGAGUCUGUUCGACUUUUAAUACUUUACAUGAUUUGAGUUCA